UUGGUUCUGGCAUCGAUGAAGAACGCAGCGAAAUGCGAUAAGUAGUGUGAAUUGCAGAAUUCAGUGAAUCAUCGAAUCUUUGAACGCACAUUGCGCCCUUUGGUAUUCCAAAGGGCAUGCCUGUUCGAGCGUCAUUUGUACCCUCAAGCUUUGCUUGGUGUUGGGCGUCUUGUCUCUAGCUUUGCUGGAGACUCGCCUUAAAGUAAUUGGCAGCCGGCCUACUGGUUUCGGAGCGCAGCACAAGUCGCACUCUCUAUCAGCAAAGGUCUAGCAUCCA
This 277-nucleotide ribosomal RNA is filed under the name Alternaria alternata. RNAcentral's name for it is "partial 16S ribosomal RNA". The stretch from base 1 to 134 matches the Rfam family "5.8S ribosomal RNA", at positions 21 to 154 of the family's 154-position model. The record is from RNAcentral. Lineage: Eukaryota; Fungi; Ascomycota; Dothideomycetes; Pleosporales; Pleosporaceae.